Molecule: long non-coding RNA, 580 nt
Filed under: Equus asinus (donkey)
Lineage: Eukaryota; Metazoa; Chordata; Mammalia; Perissodactyla; Equidae
Description: lncRNA (ENSEASG00005030028.1)
Source: RNAcentral
AUGGAACUUAAUCUCAACAGUCACCUGAGUUGAAGAUAGAGUUUGAGGAGUCAUCCCAAUAUGGAUAGCAUUUGUUGUAAAUUAGAAGGUGGUAAAAACUUGCCUUUGGAAAAAAGUUUAAAAAUUGCAGUGAGACUUAUGAAUACUCUUCAACUUCACCUGUUGGAAUAAAGGUCUUUCUUGUAAUCAGGAGAUCCUGUUGACAUGAUAAAACAGAAAGAGUCAGAGAGGAUCAGAAAUAAAUGAAAUCUCUCACAACUAAACUGCUUAUGUGUUCAUCCUGUUGACUGAUUCUUUUCUGGAUUGUGCUCCUUGUGGGCAGCAAAUCAACAGACUAUGUCCUCCUCUCCUACGUUUUGUCUGACAAGCAGCAUUUUUUAAAUAAAAGACAGGUGAACGAGUAAAUGAAUGCAGUGCAGAUCCAGUGCAGAUAGCUGCCUGCUGGCUGUGUUGGAACCAGGGAGACGUCAAAUGGUUAGCAGGUAUUCAAAAGGCGGAAGUCUAAAGAGGCCAAAGGAGAUGUUGAGUCACUGUGAAAUGCUCCUAAUUAGUAUGCCAACUUUUCCACCAGGACCCUGAG